Gigantopelta aegis is the source of this 929-nucleotide long non-coding RNA. RefSeq lists it as uncharacterized. The transcript has 2 exons. The record is from RefSeq and is a predicted model, not a curated record. NCBI's taxonomy places the organism in Eukaryota, Metazoa, Mollusca, Gastropoda, Neomphalida, Peltospiridae.
CACAUACCAUUCUUUGAUGUACCAGUCGUGGACAAAAGGAUGAGUGCCAGAAAUAUUUUCUAGUUCAAUCAUAUUUAUAAUUUUAGUAUAUUAUAAAAUUCACAUCAUUUUAUUUUUGUACCAUGACGUCAUGACCCUGCUCACAGCCGAUAUAUGUUAUGUGACUAAAGGAAUGCAUGCAGUGUUACGUGUUAUGCGACAUCAGGUACUACCUUUGCUUAAAGAAUGACGUAUUCAACAGGUAGCAAGGACCGUCUACCCCUAAACGAUGAGACCAAAUGACCAAUGAAAAGGCUGGAUUACCGUUUAGGUGACGUGUGCUAGACGUUUUAUCUAGCACCUUUCUACAGAUUGAUUGAACUAGAAAGGACUACACAUUAGAGCCUCUUAUCAAUUGUGUGACACAGUUUGAGAUUGAGGAAAAAAACCCACUGGGUUCACCAAGGAGAUCUGUCCUAUUACCCAUCAGACACAUCCCGCCACUAGAGUGGAGCACAUUUCACUGUUGGUGAGACCAGGCCUGGAAUGUGGAGAUGGAUAGCAAAAGAAAUUGAACAAAUAUGUUGAACAUCAUAUAUUGUAGGUUCUGUUAGUCUACACACAUGAGCAAAAUAUAGUAGAUAUUGAAAAAUAUAGUAGAUAUUGAAACUUGUGCUAUGUCUACAUAUGCCAUUCUAUCCCAAUACAUGCCAAAUCUGCAUAGAUCAUGGCAUUAUCAUUGUGAUUUAUGGGUGGAUUUUCUUCUCCUUUUUUUUUUAUGCCAUAUUUGUGCAACUUGUCUUGAUGUACAUUUUAUUUUUGUGCUCAAGUGCUGAAAUUCAUGUUUUGCUAGUAUUUAAUAGUUGGUAGUUUUAAUACAGCAGUUUCUGCACAUUAUUAUGUUUUGUGGUGACCUCAUACAUGCAAUACCAAUAAUAAUUGAAAAUCAG